Rhinichthys klamathensis goyatoka is the source of this 629-nucleotide long non-coding RNA. RefSeq lists it as uncharacterized. The record is from RefSeq and is a predicted model, not a curated record. The transcript is spliced from 2 exons. NCBI's taxonomy places the organism in Eukaryota, Metazoa, Chordata, Actinopteri, Cypriniformes, Leuciscidae.
CAAAAGUGAAGCCAAAACGUCUCGAUCGCCCCCCAGUGACCGGUCCUAGUAUAGGUCAUAAGCCCCGCCUUCCUAUGUUAUUCAACAGGACGUGAGACCAACUAAACAAUUAAAUUACACUUCACAUAUCCUUUUUCCAAAGAUAGUUUCUGUAAUUUACUGUAGUUUCUAUCACGUUGAUGUAAUUUCAAUUAGUUAUUUGAUGCUAUAAAAACGGUGCUGUGACAUCAUGAUUGACAGCUGUGAUUGACAGGUUCUCUGUGCGAAGUAGUCACUGAAGCACCAACGGACUUUUUUUCAUAAUGUUUACUAUGUGGUUUAGUUGUAUUUACCUUAUUUUAACGAGGUACUGCAAUCAGCAGACAUCAUUGGAGAGAAACGGAGCAGACAGAGGCCACUUAAGAAAAGUGCAGGGCGUGUGCUUGCGAUUGACUCAGCGAGAGUGAGGGCGGGGCCUUGAUUUCGCGGCUUUACUUCCUGCUCACGACUGCGCAUGUCUGGUCCCGAAAACGCAAGUGCGCAGACUCAAGUCCCAAGAUGUCAGCGCCAUAUCGGGACCUAUGAUCGGGACAGGGGACACUCCACUGUCUAUGGGGACACUGGCGGCUUCAGUUCUCUCCGAUGGAAAA